Ipomoea nil (Japanese morning glory) is the source of this 438-nucleotide long non-coding RNA. RefSeq lists it as uncharacterized. The transcript is spliced from 2 exons. NCBI's taxonomy places the organism in Eukaryota, Viridiplantae, Streptophyta, Magnoliopsida, Solanales, Convolvulaceae. The record is from RefSeq and is a predicted model, not a curated record.
UAAGUUGUGGUGGUGAAGGUUACUAGUUCUCCUGUUCGUGUAGAUCUGCAAAAUUUUGGGAUUGAAUGGUAUCGAUUUCUUCUCCCCAUCAGAUGUUGUUGAAAAAAGAAAUUUUCGGAAAGUUUGCAUUUGCAUAAGGGCACUAUCAAAGAAAGCCAGAUCAAAACAUUUAAAGGUCCCAGACUUUGAUGUGGUAACAUACACUAUUGCCAUGCCAAAAGAUAUGGUGGGGGGCAUUAGAAGAAGCUUGGAGACAUCGCAAUGUAACUUUUCAAGUUCAUCCAGUUAUUAGCUCAUAUAAAUAUCAAAGACAGAAAGUUAGGCAGGUAUACUCAUCAAGGAUUAACGCCAUAUCCAUCAGCAUGUAUGAGCUUGUGUAUUGAUAAUAUUGUAUUUAUAAUAUAGUUUGUUGAUAAUAUUGUGUUUUGAUGGUUUGUU